Molecule: long non-coding RNA, 519 nt
Filed under: Chlamydomonas reinhardtii
Lineage: Eukaryota; Viridiplantae; Chlorophyta; Chlorophyceae; Chlamydomonadales; Chlamydomonadaceae
Description: long non-coding RNA (CREI_LNC000680)
Source: RNAcentral
GCUGCGGUGGUUUCCGUAUGGUCGCUGGUCUGCUGUGUUGCUGGGUCAGUGCGCGCGGCCGCUUGGAUCGGCGUACAUGUGUCACAGUCAGAUAGAGGCUGCCUGUGUUCCCUGGCCCAGGGGUGCUCAAGGGUGCCCUGCUCAAGUGUGCCUCGGCACAUCCUCUGCACCCACUGCACAAAUCCUCAGUCAGCCAGCGUCAUAAGCCUGUUAGCACGCUAACAAUCCGGAUGCUGUCCCAGCAAGGCAUGCCACGAACUCGGGUAUCCCCUCUGGCAGUCAGCUGCAAGCAAGGGCACGUUACCAAACAGGUAACCGCGCUGUUGCCCUUUCGACUGCUGGCCUGGCCACACAGACUUACUUAACGCACGACGUGCUUGUGGCGGGGUGAGGAAGCCUGAGGGAGCAACGCGAAUGUGCGAUGAAGUCCAGCCAGCUGUCCAAAGCUGACACGCCGUGCAUUGACGCCGUGUCUUCGCGUGUUCGCACAGACGUACGUCUCAGUCUCAGCAUUCCAAU